This 328-nucleotide ribosomal RNA is filed under the name uncultured Glomeromycotina. RNAcentral's name for it is "eukaryotic LSU rRNA". Lineage: Eukaryota; Fungi; Glomeromycota. The record is from RNAcentral.
CAGUCGUACCGACGAGAAAUCAACUUAUCGUGUGCGAACUUGUGGGCGUGCGUGAGUUUCGGCCUCGCUGUUUGCAUGUUUGUGCGCUUUGGGUGUACUUUUUCGUAUGGUAGGCCAACGUCAGUUUCGAUUAUCAUAAAAUGACCGGCGGAAUGUAGCUUCGAUUUCGAUUGAAGUGUUAUAGCCUUCGGCAGAUGUGAUGAUCGGGAUUGAGGAUUGCAACGGAUACCCUUCGGGGCUACCUGUCUGGUCUCUGAUCGUUGCUUUGGUGCCGAAAGCGUGCUUACGGUUAUCAAAGUCGAUGGUCAAUAGGUUAGAACGGGUUAAA